This is a small nuclear RNA of Panthera pardus (leopard), 104 nucleotides long. The record is from Ensembl. Lineage: Eukaryota; Metazoa; Chordata; Mammalia; Carnivora; Felidae.
GUUCUUGCUUCAGCAGCACAUACACUAAAAUUGAAACGAUAUAGAGAUUAACACGGCCCCCACACAAGGAUGACAUACAAAUUCAUGAAGCAUUCCAUAUUUAA